UUUACUAGUACAUCUUAAAAGAGUAGAGUCAAUGUUUCAGUUCCCACAGUAAAACUUUAAUCAGGACAUGUACUAAUUUACUGAUGAAAGUUCCACUGUGGGAACUGAAACGUUGACUCUACUCUUUUAAGAUGUAAUAUUAAAA
Pelobates cultripes (western spadefoot toad) is the source of this 145-nucleotide non-coding RNA. NCBI's taxonomy places the organism in Eukaryota, Metazoa, Chordata, Amphibia, Anura, Pelobatidae. The record is from the annotation of a GenBank genome assembly.